CGCGGCCUAUCAGCUUGUUGGUGAGGUUAUGGCUUACCAAGGCGACGACGGGUAGCCGGCCUGAGAGGGUGUCCGGCCACACUGGGACUGAGAUACGGCCCAGACUCCUACGGGAGGCAGCAGUGGGGAAUAUUGCACAAUGGGCGCAAGCCUGAUGCAGCGACGCCGCGUGGGGGAUGACGGCCUUCGGGUUGUAAACCUCUUUCAGCUAUGACGAAGCGCAAGUGACGGUAGUAGCAGAAGAAGCACCGGCCAACUACGUGCCAGCAGCCGCGGUAAUACGUAGGGUGCGAGCGUUGUCCGGAAUUACUGGGCGUAAAGAGCUCGUAGGUGGUUUGUCGCGUUGUUCGUGAAAACCUGAGGCUUAACCUUGGGCGUGCGGGCGAUACGGGCAGACUGGAGUACUGCAGGGGAGACUGGAAUUCCUGGUGUAGCGGUGGAAUGCGCAGAUAUCAGGAGGAACACCGGUGGCGAAGGCGGGUCUCUGGGCAGUAACUGACGCUGAGGAGCGAAAGCGUGGGGAGCGAACAGGACUAGAUACCCUGGUAGUCCACGCCGUAAACGGUGGGUACUAGGUGUGGGUUUCCUUCCUUGGGAUCCGUGCCGUAGCUAACGCAUUAAGUACCCCGCCUGGGGAGUACGG
This 643-nucleotide ribosomal RNA is filed under the name uncultured Actinomycetes bacterium. Its description in RNAcentral is "bacterial SSU rRNA". It matches the Rfam family "Bacterial small subunit ribosomal RNA", at positions 232 to 885 of the family's 1533-position model. The record is from RNAcentral. Lineage: Bacteria; Bacillati; Actinomycetota; Actinomycetes.